AAAUUUUGAAGAUGAAAAUAUUAAUGUUGAAAAGCGUUGUCCCAAUCAUGACGUACAGUGCCGACAAGUUUUAUAUGAGGGCUGCGAUUUAA
This is a non-coding RNA of Nylanderia fulva, 92 nucleotides long. NCBI's taxonomy places the organism in Eukaryota, Metazoa, Arthropoda, Insecta, Hymenoptera, Formicidae. The record is from RefSeq and is a predicted model, not a curated record.